Long non-coding RNA from Carya illinoinensis, 2055 nucleotides. RefSeq lists it as uncharacterized. Lineage: Eukaryota; Viridiplantae; Streptophyta; Magnoliopsida; Fagales; Juglandaceae. The transcript is spliced from 2 exons. The record is from RefSeq and is a predicted model, not a curated record.
AAGAACUCAAUUUCCAAUGAAAGUAAUUUCACAUAAGUUCAGAGCACAAAUUAAAAGCAGCCCCAAUCCUACAUACAGAGAGUCAGCUCCACCUUCUUUCCUGAUCCACCGCUAGAAUUCUGACAGAGAUGCUACAAACCAACGGUCAAGAUCUGUCCACAAUCCUAGCCUAGUAAUAGACAAAUUCCCACACCGAGUACCUACGAUGAGUGAGAUGUGUUUAUAACGCAACGCGAAGCAGAAUACAGCGUCCCUUCGGGGACAUCCGAUAAAAUUGGAACGAUACAGAGAAGAUUAGCAUGGCCCCAUUUCGCAGCAAUGUCCACUCUCUCCGAUCAAGCUGCGUUUAUUAUGGAUUCCGCUGCGUUUGUUGUGCUCGUGCGCGGAGGUAAAGCUGGGACUUUUCUCUUCUUUUGGGAUUCCCGGCAUGUCCUAUGGAAACUAGCGUUUCUUUUCUGUAAGGAUGGUUCCUUCUUUAGGAUUUUGGGCGGAGUCGUGAUUUUCAAAUUUCGAGUCCUGAUGGUUGAUAUUCUUUAAUAUUGAAGUUUGGAAUGUCUUUAACGUGGAAGUAGCUUUUGAGGGUGUGAAAAUCUUCUUUUCAUUUUUCAGUAGCGGUGUUCUUAACGAGGAUGCGCACACACCAUAUAUGUAGCUAGGGCAUCCAUCAUGUGGAACUCGGGGAUUGCCUUUAGACUGGCUUAAAACUUCAUCGGAUAAAUUUCAGCCAUUUUUUGUGUUGUUCUCCUUUUUCAAGCUUCGGUGCUAAAUAAUCACAAGCCUAUCAUAAUUUUCAUUCAAAACGAGGAUAGUUUGAGGAAAAAUAAGACCAAAUUUCAGUUUUGGCCUUAACCCAGAGAAAGAGCGAGGAAUGACAUUCUCACUCUCCGCAAAACACAUGAUCACCUCUUUGUCUCUAAUUAAAGCUCAUUAAACUGGUGGGAGUUGCACUUGAAUCUGCCUUGAAUGUCAUAGAGUGAUUAUAGGAGGAACCAUCGCCGUAGCUUGUCAUUGUAAAGUUCCGAAUGAUCUCUCCUGCUCGGGCUCAAGGCCCAAACCAUGAAAUUACCCACACACGAGGCAUUAGUGUCCUCCCCCAUUGCAAAUUCCAGAGAAUGGGUUGAACCCUUUGUGAGCAUUGGUCUGGUUAGGAUUCCAGAUGGACCUGCUGAGUUGAUCUCAAUUGCUGCCCUGGCUUUGGGAACCAAGUCGUGUGCGAAGUAGAUGCAUUUCACGACCAUUGCUGGAGUGGUUAUUGAGCUCCAGUUUGAUGGUCUCUUUUCUGCUUUAGAUGGUUAAUGAGCGCUUCUUAAUCUCAACCAAGAAAGUAGCAGGCAUGGCUCUCCCACGGUUCAUUCCCACAUCUUUGAAAGGGAAAACCCAUCCUUCAGAAAUCAAGUCAAGACGCUUACAGCAGUAACAUCAUUGGAAUAGUCUUCGCUCCCAGGAACACGGAUGAGUGUAAGUCUAUAGUCCAAGUACGUCCUGUAGUUGCCACCCGACCCAACUGCAACGCAUGCCAUAUCCUGGCGAUGAGGUCUGAGGACCUUAAAUUUAAAUGCCAAACUGUGCCAUUAAAUGACCAACUGGGAAUGCGUUGUAGUGGUGUUUGUAGACUUUCUAGCCAUGUUAGUCGAAGGAGAUUCCAAGUCGGAUUCUGGACUAUAUUUGAGAAGGAAAAUUUGUGAUUAGCAGUAAAGUUUUUAAACGAGAUGGAAAUUACUUGUGGAGUCUGAAGAACUGCUUACCCGCAGAUGACAUUGAAGCGAAGUGGAAUCACAGGAGAAGAACUGCAAGAGCCAUGGAAAGGGAGAGUGCUCCAUUUGAUUGCAGAGUCGCUUUGCACACGAUUCUGUACAUACGAACAUUGCUUGAAUGCAAAGUUGCAAAAUAGCUUGGUUUACUAUUUCCCAGUUGCGAUUCUAAAACCCAAUGAGAUAGUCUUGGUUUUGGUGUGUUUGAAUUUGGAAUGCAUUGUUGCUUUGCACAGUUUUUUACAUAUGACCAUCGCAUUGAUGUAAAGGAGCGAGAUACUUGGCUUGAUUUUACUAUUGCCAA